RNAcentral lists this ribosomal RNA (242 nucleotides) under uncultured Porphyromonadaceae bacterium. RNAcentral describes it as "partial 16S ribosomal RNA". It matches the Rfam family "Bacterial small subunit ribosomal RNA", at positions 796 to 1041 of the family's 1533-position model. Lineage: Bacteria; Pseudomonadati; Bacteroidota; Bacteroidia; Bacteroidales; Porphyromonadaceae. The record is from RNAcentral.
CACGCAGUAAACGAUGAUUACUGGCUGUUUGCGAUACAAUGUAAGCGGCUGAGCGAAAGCGUUAAGUAAUCCACCUGGGGAGUACGUUCGCAAGAAUGAAACUCAAAGGAAUUGACGGGGGCCCGCACAAGCGGAGGAACAUGUGGUUUAAUUCGAUGAUACGCGAGGAACCUUACCCGGGCUUGAAAUGCAGACGACCUCCCGCGAGAACGGGAUUCCCUUCGGGGCGUCUGUGUAGGUGC